RNAcentral lists this ribosomal RNA (592 nucleotides) under uncultured bacterium. RNAcentral's name for it is "bacterial SSU rRNA". It matches the Rfam family "Bacterial small subunit ribosomal RNA", at positions 338 to 945 of the family's 1533-position model. The record is from RNAcentral.
CCUACGGGAGGCAGCAGUGGGGAAUCUUGCGCAAUGGGCGAAAGCCUGACGCAGCAACGCCGCGUGCGGGAAGAAGGCUUUCGGGCUGUAAACCGCUUUCAGCAGGAACGAAAAUGACGGUACCUGCAGAAGAAGGAGCGGCCAACUAUGUGCCAGCAGCCGCGGUGAUACAUAGGCUUCAAGCGUUGUCCGGGAUUUAUUGGGCGUAAAGAGUUCGUAGGCGGUCGAGUAAGUCGGGUGUGAAAAUUCUGGGCUCAACCCAGAGAACGCCGACCCGAUACUGCUUAACUUGAGUUCGAUAGGGGAGUGGGGAAUUCCUAGUGUAGCGGUGAAAUGGCGCAGAUAUUAGGAGGAACACCGGUAGGCGAAGGCGCCACUCUGGAUCGAUACUGACGCUGAGGACCGAAAGCAUGGGUAGCAAACAGGAUUAGAUACCCUGGUAGUCCGAUGCCGUAAACGGUGGGCACUAGGUGUGGGAUUCUAUUAACGAAUUCCGCGCCGUGCUAACGGCAUUAAGUGCCCCGCUGGGGAAUCGGUCGCAAGCAAACUUAAGGAAUUGACGGCNGAGAGUGCGAGACGACGACGAGGAGAG